GACGAACGCUGGCGGCGUGCUUAACACAUGCAAGUCGAACGGAAAGGCCUGCUUUCCCUUGUGGAUUGCGGGUACUCGAGUGGCGAACGGGUGAGUAACACGUGAGUGAUCUGCCCCCAACUUGGGUAUAAGCCUGGGAAACUGGGUCUAAUUCCCGAUAGGACUGCAGGGUGGUGCCUGUGGUGGAAAACGAUUUUCUAGUGGUUGGGGAUGAGCUCGCGGCCUAUCAGCUUGUUGGUGGGGUUAUGGCCUACCAAGGCGGCGACGGGUAGCCGGCCUGGGAGGGUGGACGGCCACAUUGGGACUGAGAUACGGCCCAGACUCCUACGGGAGGCAGCAGUGGGGAAUAUGGCACAAUGGGCGGAAGCCUGAUGCAGCGACGCCGCGUGGGGGAUGACGGCCUUCGGGUUGUAAACUCCUUUCGACCGCGAGGAAGCCACCUGGUUGGAAGGGUGGUGACGGUAGUGGUAGAAGAAGCACCGGCUAACUACGUG
RNAcentral lists this ribosomal RNA (494 nucleotides) under uncultured bacterium. RNAcentral's name for it is "partial 16S ribosomal RNA". It matches the Rfam family "Bacterial small subunit ribosomal RNA", at positions 28 to 507 of the family's 1533-position model. The record is from RNAcentral.